This 481-nucleotide ribosomal RNA is filed under the name uncultured bacterium. RNAcentral describes it as "partial 16S ribosomal RNA". It matches the Rfam family "Bacterial small subunit ribosomal RNA", at positions 28 to 507 of the family's 1533-position model. The record is from RNAcentral.
GAUGAACGCUGGCGGCGUGCUUAACACAUGCAAGUCGAACGAAGCACUUUAUUUGAUUUCCUUCGGGACUGAUUAUUUUGUGACUGAGUGGCGGACGGGUGAGUAACGCGUGGGUAACCUGCCUUGUACGGGGGGAUAACAGUUGGAAACGGCUGCUAAUACCGCAUAAGCGCACAGCAUCGCAUGAUGCAGUGUGAAAAACUCCGGUGGUAUAAGAUGGACCCGCGUUGGAUUAGCUAGUUGGUGAGGUAACGGCCCACCAAGGCGACGAUCCAUAGCCGACCUGAGAGGGUGACCGGCCACAUUGGGACUGAGACACGGCCCAAACUCCUACGGGAAGCAGCAGUGGGGAAUAUUGCACAAUGGGCGAAAGCCUGAUGCAGCGACGCCGCGUGAGCGAAGAAGUAUUUCGGUAUGUAAAGCUCUAUCAGCAGGGAAGAUAAUGACGGUACCUGACUAAGAAGCACCGGCUAAAUACGUG